This 601-nucleotide ribosomal RNA is filed under the name uncultured archaeon. Its description in RNAcentral is "bacterial SSU rRNA". It matches the Rfam family "Archaeal small subunit ribosomal RNA", at positions 94 to 697 of the family's 1478-position model. The record is from RNAcentral.
UAACACGUGGAUAAUCUGCCCUUAGGUGGAGGAUAAUCUCGGGAAACUGAGGAUAAUACUCCAUAGAUCUAGGAUGCUGGAAUGCAUCUAGAUUGAAAGCUCCGGCGCCUAAGGAUGAGUCUGCGGACUAUCAGGUUGUAGUCAGGGUAAAGACCUGACUAGCCUAUGACGGAUACGGGUUGUGAGAGCAAUAACCCGGAGACGAUAUCUGAGACACGAUAUCGGGCCCUACGGGGCGCAGCAGGCGCGAAAACUUCACACUGUGCGAAAGCGCGAUGAGGGAAUCCCAAGUGUUUGCUCGUAAGAGUAAACUGUUUCUUUGUUUAAAACGCAUAAAGAGUAAGGGCUGGGUAAGACGGGUGCCAGCCGCCGCGGUAAUACCUGCAGNUCAAGUGGUGAUCAUUAUUAUUGGGCCUAAAACGUCCGUAGCCGGUUUGGUAAAUGCCUGGGUAAAUCGUGUAGCUUAACUAUACGAAUUCCGGGUAGACUGCCAAACUUGAGACCGGGAGAGGCUAGGAGGUACUCCUGGGGUAGAGGUGAAAUCUGUAAUCCUAGGGGGACCACCAGUGGCGAAGGCGUCUAGCUAGAACGGGCCUGACGG